RNAcentral lists this ribosomal RNA (253 nucleotides) under uncultured bacterium. Its description in RNAcentral is "partial 16S ribosomal RNA". It matches the Rfam family "Bacterial small subunit ribosomal RNA", at positions 524 to 776 of the family's 1533-position model. The record is from RNAcentral.
UACGUAGGGGGCUAGCGUUGCUCGGAAUCACUGGGCGUAAAGCGCACGUAGGCGGCUUGUUAAGUCAGGGGUGAAAUCCUGGAGCUCAACUCCAGAACUGCCUUUGAUACUGGCGAGCUUGAGUUCGGGAGAGGUGAGUGGAACUGCGAGUGUAGAGGUGAAAUUCGUAGAUAUUUGCAAGAACACCAGUGGCGAAGGCGGCUCACUGGCCCGAUACUGACGCUGAGGUGCGAAAGCGUGGGGAGCAAACAGG